This 1415-nucleotide long non-coding RNA is filed under the name Equus caballus (horse). Its description in RNAcentral is "lncRNA (ENSECAG00000055306.1)". The record is from RNAcentral. Lineage: Eukaryota; Metazoa; Chordata; Mammalia; Perissodactyla; Equidae.
AGUUAGCGGAGCCUCAUUCUGAAGCAGUCGGUUGCCCUAACGGAGAACACACCGUCUAGAAGGGGUCAGUUAGGAAGAUCUCGAAAGGCCAAAUAUCAGAGGCAGCUGCCGCGAGGGCUUUGGCUAAUCGGCCAAUCUAUUCUCCUUCAACACCUCUGGCGUAGAGAAUUAACAUAGCAAAUGUCAGAAACAGAUGUCACCUGGUGGAAGGAGUGGCCUAUUUUCUAGCAUAAUGAAUGGGCUUUCUUGGUCAAAUUAAGGUUAUUCAAGACAUAUCAAUUGGCUGAAAUCAUUUAAAAUAGGAUGUAAGAAUUAACGCCAGUCUCUGGCCUCCACUCAGAGAUGGAGGCUGGGGCUUGCUCUCUUCACAGUCUUGUAUCCGGCCAUUCUCUUAGGAGGAUUUCCGGCUGACUGAUGGCAGUGAUAAGAACGCUGCUUCUGGAAUGUUGCAGCCACCUGAAAUGGACUGCCCGUGCACUGUGUGGUUUUGGUUGGGGCAAUUAAAAGAAUAUUGACCUGGAACUUUAUCAAGCCUUCAGAACAGAUGGAGGAAGGGGUCGUGAGCCAAGGAAUGCAAGCAGCCUCUAGAAGCUGGAAACGGCAUGGAAAUGGAUUCUCCCCUAGAGCCUCCAGAAAGAAUGCAGACUCACUGUGAUUUCAGACCUGCGAGACCCAUUUCAGAGUUUUGACCUCAAGAAGCGUAAGAUAAUACAUUUAUGUUAUUCUAAGGCACUAAGUUCAGGGUAAUUUGUUGCAGCAGCAAUAGAAAACUAAUACACAAGAUGAAAAGAAAUAAGGAAAUAUGACCACCAACUCCCAACAAGCAAGUCCCCAUUUUGUGCACUGUCAUGUGCACUGCGGCGCUGACCACCAUGGCUGCAUCACCCAGGCCCCCUUGCCCUCUGGGAUAUCAGACGGGCUGCCCAGAGGGCAAAAAAGUGAUGCUGAAUGUGCUGACUGCUCUAUUGAAGAAAAAUGAAGACUAUGGUUUUUCUGCUCUGAUUAGAGUGAAAGGCAUCGUCCUCGACUAGAAGUUUUGUAGUCUACCGCACAUGAAAAAACCUUUUUGCGACUUCUUUAAAAUUGCUUUUAAAUGGGUGCUGAGUCUAAAAACUGGCUCAUGUCCAGAAGCUGGGCAGAGGAUCGUGACUUUUCUGGGUGGCUUCCCUCAGCCUCCUGAGCUGCCAUCCUCGAUUUCUUUUGAUGGUGUGCAUUCAGUGAUGUCUUUUUGGCUGCCCUUUGAUUUAGCCCUUAGGGACACCCUGUUCUAUUAACCAUCUCCCAAACACUCUGUGGGUCAGGCUUCUGUAGCUGCCCAUCCGCCCUUGCCACUCAUUACAAUAUUUGAGCCCGCAAAAAUAUAUACCACCAGCCUGCCUCUGUCAUUUUGAGAUCUACCACAGCAGAUCCAUUUU